This 438-nucleotide long non-coding RNA is filed under the name Setaria viridis. RNAcentral's name for it is "long non-coding RNA (SVIR_LNC002628)". Lineage: Eukaryota; Viridiplantae; Streptophyta; Magnoliopsida; Poales; Poaceae. The record is from RNAcentral.
GGAAAGAAAGUAACUUACCCCUCCUUGUUGACGAUAAACAAAUGGCUUGCUGAAGCCAUGAUAGGGACCGGAACUGUUGGGUCGGGUUGCUACCUGACCAUGAUUGCAUCCUUUUUGAAGCUAGAUAUAUAAGGGGUCCAUGAGUGGUUCAUAAAAGGAGGUAGCAUUGACACUAGGACAAUGAAAAAUGCACACUUAAUUGGUGGCGACGGAGAGAAAGGAUGUACAGUAGAGUCAUAAAUUUAAAGUUGCCUGACAGAAGAAUGGGGAUUUACCAUGUGGGCAAGACUAACUGGUGGGAAGAGGAAAUUUUAUUUCCCACAAAGAAAGACAAGAGAGGACAGAGAAUAGAAGAAGACUCAUCAUCACAGGCAGCUCCAGAAAUACCAGUGCCACCACCUUGCUCAAGCUACUAGUAGACGGAGUUUCAUAGUGCAC